GGAUUGNCANUGGGCGCAGCCUGAUGCAGCGACGCCGCGUGGGGGAUGACGGCCUUCGGGUUGUAAACCUCUUUCACCAUCGACGAAGGUCCGGGUUUUCUCGGAUUGACGGUAGGUGGAGAAGAAGCACCGGCCAACUACGUGCCAGCAGCCGCGGUAAUACGUAGGGUGCGAGCGUUGUCCGGAAUUACUGGGCGUAAAGAGCUCGUAGGUGGUUUGUCGCGUUGUUCGUGAAAACUCACGGCUUAACUGUGAGCGUGCGGGCGAUACGGGCAGACUGGAGUACUGCAGGGGAGACUGGAAUUCCUGGUGUAGCGGUGGAAUGCGCAGAUAUCAGGAGGAACACCGGUGGCGAAGGCGGGUCUCUGGGCAGUAACUGACGCUGAGGAGCGAAAGCGUGGGGAGCGAACAGGAUUAGAUACCCUGGUAGUCCACGCCGUAAACGGUGGGUACUAGGUGUGGGUUUCCUUCCUUGGGAUCCGUGCCGUAGCUAACGCAUUAAGUACCCCGCCUGGGGAGUACGGCCGCAAGGCUAAAACUCAAAGGAAUUGACGGA
RNAcentral lists this ribosomal RNA (556 nucleotides) under uncultured bacterium. RNAcentral's name for it is "bacterial SSU rRNA". It matches the Rfam family "Bacterial small subunit ribosomal RNA", at positions 359 to 917 of the family's 1533-position model. The record is from RNAcentral.